GCUUGUUUUGGCAGCAUAUACUGUAACUGGAACAAUACAGAGAAGAUGAGCAUGGUCCCUGCACAAGGAUGACACAAAUUCAUGAAGCACACCAUAUUUUU
RNAcentral lists this small nuclear RNA (101 nucleotides) under Catagonus wagneri (Chacoan peccary). The record is from RNAcentral. Lineage: Eukaryota; Metazoa; Chordata; Mammalia; Artiodactyla; Tayassuidae.